AUACGGAGGGUCCGAGCGUUAAUCGGAAUUACUGGGCGUAAAGCGCGCGUAGGCGGAUAUUUAAGUCAGAUGUGAAAUCCCUGGGCUCAACCUAGGAACUGCAUUUGAAACUGGAUAUCUAGAGUAUGGUAGAGGUGAGUGGAAUUUCAGGUGUAGCGGUGAAAUGCGUAGAGAUCUGAAGGAACAUCAGUGGCGAAGGCGACUCACUGGGCCAUUACUGACGCUGAGGUGCGAAAGCGUGGGUAGCAAACAGGAUUAGAAACCCGGGUAGUCC
This 274-nucleotide ribosomal RNA is filed under the name uncultured bacterium. RNAcentral describes it as "partial 16S ribosomal RNA". It matches the Rfam family "Bacterial small subunit ribosomal RNA", at positions 523 to 796 of the family's 1533-position model. The record is from RNAcentral.